UACGGAGGAUCCAAGCGUUAUCCGGAAUCAUUGGGUUUAAAGGGUCCGUAGGCGGUUUAAUAAGUCAGUGGUGAAAGCCUUCCGCUUAACGGGAGAACGGCCAUUGAUACUGUUAGACUUGAAUUAUUAGGAAGUAACUAGAAUAUGUAGUGUAGCGGUGAAAUGCUUAGAGAUUACAUGGAAUACCAAUUGCGAAGGCAGGUUACUACUAAUUGAUUGACGCUGAUGGACGAAAGCGUGGGUAGCGAACAGGAUUAGAUACCCUGGUAGUCCACGCCGUAAACGAUGGAUACUAGCUGUUCGGAGCAAUCUGAGUGGCUAAGCGAAAGUGAUAAGUAUCCCACCUGGGGAGUACGUUCGCAAGAAUG
This 368-nucleotide ribosomal RNA is filed under the name uncultured prokaryote. RNAcentral's name for it is "bacterial SSU rRNA". It matches the Rfam family "Bacterial small subunit ribosomal RNA", at positions 524 to 896 of the family's 1533-position model. The record is from RNAcentral.